Molecule: ribosomal RNA, 503 nt
Filed under: uncultured Glomus
Lineage: Eukaryota; Fungi; Glomeromycota; Glomeromycetes; Glomerales; Glomeraceae
Description: SSU rRNA
Rfam family: Eukaryotic small subunit ribosomal RNA
Source: RNAcentral
AGCAGCCGCGGUAAUUCCAGCUCCAAUAGCGUAUAUUAAAGUUGUUGCAGUUAAAAAGCUCGUAGUUGAAUUUCGGGAUCAAUAUUUCGGUCAUGCCGUUGGUAUGCACUGUUAUCAUUGAUUUCUCACCUUCUAAAGAACCGUAAUGCCAUUAAUUUGGUGUUACGGGGAAUUAGGACUGUUACCUUGAAAAAAUUAGAGUGUUUAAAGCAGGCUCACGCUUGAAUACAUUAGCAUGGAAUAAUGAAAUAGGACAUCCGAUUCUAUUUUGUUGGUUUCUAGGAUCGAUGUAAUGAUUAAUAGGGAUAGUUGGGGGCAUUAGUAUUCAAUUGUCAGAGGUGAAAUUCUUGGAUUUAUUGAAGACUAACUACUGCGAAAGCAUUUGCCAAGGAUGUUUUCAUUAAUCAAGAACGAAAGUUAGGGGAUCGAAGACGAUCAGAUACCGUCGUAGUCUUAACCAUAAACUAUGCCGACUAGGGAUCGGAUGAUGUAAUUUUUAAUGA